CCAAUAGCGUAUAUUAAAGUUGUUGCAGUUAAAAAGCUCGUAGUUGAAUUUCGGGGCCAGUAGGUUGGUCGUGCCACUGGUAUGCACUGGCCUUACUGGUCCCUCCUUCUUGUAGAACCGUGAUGCCAUUAAUUUGGUGUUGCGGGGAAACAGGACUGUUACUUUGAAAAAAUUAGAGUGCUUAAAGCAGGCUCGCGCUUGAAUACAUUAGCAUGGAAUAACGGAAUAGGACGAUCGAACCUAUUUUGUUGGUUUCUAGGAUCGACGUAAUGAUUAAUAGGGAUAGUUGGGGGCAUUAGUAUUCAAUUGUCAGAGGUGAAAUUCUUGGAUUUAUUGAAGACUAACUACUGCGAAAGCAUUUGCCAAGGAUGUUUUCAUUAAUCAAGAACGAAAGUUAGGGGAUCGAAGGCGAUCAGAUACCGUCGUAGUCUUAACCAUAAACUAUGCCGACUAGGGAUCGGAUGAAGUUAAUUUUUUAAUGACUCAUUCGGCGCCUUACG
RNAcentral lists this ribosomal RNA (500 nucleotides) under uncultured Glomeromycotina. RNAcentral's name for it is "partial small subunit ribosomal RNA". It matches the Rfam family "Eukaryotic small subunit ribosomal RNA", at positions 591 to 1092 of the family's 1831-position model. Lineage: Eukaryota; Fungi; Glomeromycota. The record is from RNAcentral.